GACGAACGCUGGCGGCGUGCCUAAUACAUGCAAGUCGAACGCAGUGGGGAUGGGUGAGUAACACGUGGGUAACCUCACAUCAGAGGGGAUAACCCUUGGAUACAGGUGCUAAACCGACACUGAUGGAUGGACCCGCGGUGCAUUAGCUAGUUGGUGAGGUAACGGCUCACCACGGCCCCGAUGCAUAGCCGACCUGAGAGGGUGAUCGGACACCCUGGGACUGAGACACGGCCCAGACUCCUACGGGAGGCAGCAGUAGGGAAUCUUCGGCACUGGGCGAAAGUCUGACCCAGCAACGCCGCGUGAAUGAAGAAGGUUUUCGGAUCGUAAAACUCUGUUGUUAGGGAAGCGGUAUCUAACCAGGAAGCCCCGGCUAACUACGUGCCAGCAGCCGCGGUAAUAC
RNAcentral lists this ribosomal RNA (403 nucleotides) under uncultured bacterium. RNAcentral describes it as "partial 16S ribosomal RNA". It matches the Rfam family "Bacterial small subunit ribosomal RNA", at positions 28 to 526 of the family's 1533-position model. The record is from RNAcentral.